Molecule: ribosomal RNA, 484 nt
Filed under: uncultured bacterium
Lineage: Bacteria
Description: partial 16S ribosomal RNA
Rfam family: Bacterial small subunit ribosomal RNA
Source: RNAcentral
AUUGAACGCUGGCGGCAGGCCUAACACAUGCAAGUCGAGCGGAUGAAGGGAGCUUGCUCCUGGAUUCAGCGGCGGACGGGUGAGUAAUGCCUAGGAAUCUGCCUGGUAGUGGGGGAUAACGUCCGGAAACGGGCGCUAAUACCGCAUACGUCCUGAGGGAGAAAGUGGGGGAUCUUCGGACCUCACGCUAUCAGAUGAGCCUAGGUCGGAUUAGCUAGUUGGUGGGGUAAAGGCCUACCAAGGCGACGAUCCGUAACUGGUCUGAGAGGAUGAUCAGUCACACUGGAACUGAGACACGGUCCAGACUCCUACGGGAGGCAGCAGUGGGGAAUAUUGGACAAUGGGCGAAAGCCUGAUCCAGCCAUGCCGCGUGUGUGAAGAAGGUCUUCGGAUUGUAAAGCACUUUAAGUGGGGAGGAAGGGCAGUAAGUUAAUACCUUGCUGUUUUGACGGUACCAACAGAAUAAGCACCGGCUAACUUCGUG